CCUACGGGUGGCAGCAGUGAGGAAUAUUGGUCAAUGGGCGCGAGCCUGAACCAGCCAAGUAGCGUGAAGGAUGACUGCCCUACGUGUUGUACACUUCUUUUAUAAAGGAAUCAAGUGAGGCACGUGUGCCUUUUUGUAUGUACUUUAUGAAUAAGGCUCGGCUAACUCCGUGCCAGCCGCCGCGGUAAUACGGAGGAUCCCAUCGUUAUCCGGAUUUAUUGGGUUUAAAGGGAGCGUAGAUGGGUUGGUAAGUCAGUUGUGAAAGUUUGCGGCUCAACCGUAAAUUUGCAAUUGAUACUGGCAGUCUUGAGUACAGUUGAGGUAGGCGGAAUUCGUGGUGUAGCGGUGAAAUGCUUAGAUAUCACGAAGAACUCCGAUUGCGAAGGCAGAUUACUAAACUGCCACUGACAUUGAUGCUCGAAAGUGUGGGUAGCAAACAGGAUUAGAUACCCGAGUAGUC
Molecule: ribosomal RNA, 460 nt
Filed under: uncultured bacterium
Lineage: Bacteria
Description: partial 16S ribosomal RNA
Rfam family: Bacterial small subunit ribosomal RNA
Source: RNAcentral